This 342-nucleotide ribosomal RNA is filed under the name Triticum aestivum (bread wheat). RNAcentral describes it as "partial small subunit ribosomal RNA". The record is from RNAcentral. Lineage: Eukaryota; Viridiplantae; Streptophyta; Magnoliopsida; Poales; Poaceae.
AUGGAUGAUGUCGAUCCCUGUAGGAUAGGGAUUACUGGUGAAUCACUCAGAGAAGCAAGAAUUGAUUCAGGGAAGAGUGAAAUAGAUGCAGAGGUUGUGAUAAAGGUUUGGGAUAAGAUAGCACCUAUUAUGGCUUCACAGUUUGAUGCUCCCUACUCAGUUCCUCCGAUUGCACCACGUCCACUCCUCCUAAAUGGUGCUGACGACCCUCGUUGCCCAGUCCUUGGUCUACAAGAACCUGCCUCAAAAGCUGUUGAGGCUUAUGCAGAAGCUAGUUCUGCGGAUAGGUUCAAAGUUGCAAUAGGCUAUUGCCACAACCCAGUUUUGGUUGCGACAUGUUAG